GCCCGGUUAGCUCAAUCGGUAGAGCGUGAGACUCUUAACACAAGACUCAGGUUCUGUUAUCUCAAGGUUGCGGGUUCGACCCCCGCAUCGGGCU
This 94-nucleotide transfer RNA is filed under the name Escovopsis weberi. It matches the Rfam family "tRNA". From Rfam's summary of the family: Transfer RNA (tRNA) molecules are approximately 80 nucleotides in length. Their secondary structure includes four short double-helical elements and three loops (D, anti-codon, and T loops). Further hydrogen bonds mediate the characteristic L-shaped molecular structure. tRNAs have two regions of fundamental functional importance: the anti-codon, which is responsible for specific mRNA codon recognition, and the 3' end, to which the tRNAs corresponding amino acid is attached (by aminoacyl-tRNA synthetases). tRNAs cope with the degeneracy of the genetic code in two manners: having more than one tRNA (with a specific anti-codon) for a particular amino acid; and 'wobble' base-pairing, i.e. permitting non-standard base-pairing at the 3rd anti-codon position. Lineage: Eukaryota; Fungi; Ascomycota; Sordariomycetes; Hypocreales; Hypocreaceae. The record is from Rfam by way of RNAcentral.